RNAcentral lists this ribosomal RNA (396 nucleotides) under uncultured bacterium. RNAcentral's name for it is "bacterial SSU rRNA". It matches the Rfam family "Bacterial small subunit ribosomal RNA", at positions 28 to 429 of the family's 1533-position model. The record is from RNAcentral.
GACGAACGCUGGCGGCGUGCUUAACACAUGCAAGUCGAGCGGUAAGGCCCUUUCGGGGGUACACGAGCGGCGAACGGGUGAGUAACACGUGGGUGACCUGCCCUCAGCUCUGGGAUAAGCCCGGGAAACUGGGUCUAAUACCGGAUAUGACUCCAUGACGCAUGUUGUGGGGUGGAAAGCCUUGUGCGGCUGAGGAUGGGCCCGCGGCCUAUCAGCUUGUUGGUGGGGUGAUGGCCUACCAAGGCGACGACGGGUAGCCGGCCUGAGAGGGCGACCGGCCACACUGGGACUGAGACAUGGCCCAGACUCCUACGGGAGGCAGCAGUGGGGAAUCUUGCGCAAUGGGCGAAAGCCUGACGCAGCGACGCCGCGUGAGGGAUGACGGCCUGGUGUAAC